AUAGCUGAGGAAAAAGAAACCAACAGGGAUUGCUCUAGUAACGGCGAGUGAAGCAGCAAUAGCUCAAAUUUGAAAUCUGGCGUCUUCGGCGUCCGAGUUGUAAUUUGUAGAGGAUGCUUCUGAGUAACCACCGACCUAAGUUCCUUGGAACAGGACGUCAUAGAGGGUGAGAAUCCCGUAUGCGGUCGGAAAGGUGCUCUACACGUAGCUCCUUCGACGAGUCGAGUUGUUUGGGAAUGCAGCUCUAAAUGGGAGGUAAAUUUCUUCUAAAGCUAAAUAUUGGCCAGAGACCGAUAGCGCACAAGUAGAGUGAUCGAAAGAUGAAAAGCACUUUGGAAAGAGAGUUAAAAAGCACGUGAAAUUGUUAAAAGGGAAGGGAUUGCAACCAGACUUGCUCGCGGUGUUCCGCCGGUCUUCUGACCGGUCUACUCGCCGCGUUGCAGGCCAGCAUCGUCUGGUGCCGCUGGAUAAGACUUGAGGAAUGUAGCUCCCUCGGGAGUGUUAUAGCCUCUUGUGAUGCAGCGAGCGCCGGGCGAGGUCCGCGCUUCGGCUAGGAUGCUGGCGUAAUGGUCGUAAUCCGCCCGUCUGAA
Molecule: ribosomal RNA, 590 nt
Filed under: Fonsecaea nubica
Lineage: Eukaryota; Fungi; Ascomycota; Eurotiomycetes; Chaetothyriales; Herpotrichiellaceae
Description: partial large subunit ribosomal RNA
Rfam family: Eukaryotic large subunit ribosomal RNA
Source: RNAcentral